AUUUUGCGCAAUGGACGAAAGUCUGACGCAGCAACGCCGCGUGAGGGAUGAAGGCCUUCGGGUUGUAAACCUCUUUUCUCAGGGACGAUGAUGACGGUACCUGAGGAAUAAGUCACGGCUAACUACGUGCCAGCAGCCGCGGUAAUACGUAGGUGGCUAGCGUUGUCCGGAUUUACUGGGCGUAAAGAGCGCGCAGGCGGUCGUUCAAGUCGAGUGUGAAAGCCCCCGGCUCAACUGGGGAGGGUCACUCGAUACUGAUCGACUUGAAGGCGGGAGAGGGAAGCGGAAUUCCCGGUGUAGUGGUGAAAUGCGUAGAUAUCGGGAGGAACACCAGUGGCGAAGGCGGCUUUCUGGCCCGUUCUUGACGCUGAGGCGCGAAAGCUAGGGUAGCAAACGGG
This 398-nucleotide ribosomal RNA is filed under the name uncultured bacterium. RNAcentral's name for it is "bacterial SSU rRNA". It matches the Rfam family "Bacterial small subunit ribosomal RNA", at positions 361 to 776 of the family's 1533-position model. The record is from RNAcentral.